RNAcentral lists this ribosomal RNA (253 nucleotides) under uncultured bacterium. RNAcentral describes it as "partial 16S ribosomal RNA". It matches the Rfam family "Bacterial small subunit ribosomal RNA", at positions 524 to 776 of the family's 1533-position model. The record is from RNAcentral.
UACGAGGGGGGCAAGCGUUGUUCGGAAUUACUGGGCGUAAAGCGUGCGCAGGCGGCUUCGCAAGUCAGGCGUGAAAUCCCCGGGCUUAACCUGGGAAUGGCGUCUGAAACUACGGAGCUGGAGUGUGGCAGAGGGAGGUAGAAUUCCACGUGUAGCGGUGAAAUGCGUAGAUAUGUGGAGGAAUACCGAUGGCGAAGGCGGCCACCUGGGCCGGAACUGACGCUGAGGCGCGAAAGCGUGGGGAGCAAACGGG